Molecule: ribosomal RNA, 398 nt
Filed under: uncultured bacterium
Lineage: Bacteria
Description: bacterial SSU rRNA
Rfam family: Bacterial small subunit ribosomal RNA
Source: RNAcentral
AAAGGGGUGCUAAUACCGAAUGUGACAGCAAUCUCGCAUGAGGAUGCUGUGAAAGAUGGCCUCUAUUUAUAAGCUAUCGCUAGAGGAUGGGCCUGCGUCUGAUUAGCUAGUUGGUGGGGUAACGGCCUACCAAGGCGAUGAUCAGUAGCCGGUCUGAGAGGAUGAACGGCCACAUUGGGACUGAGACACGGCCCAGACUCCUACGGGAGGCAGCAGUGGGGAAUCUUCCGCAAUGGGCGAAAGCCUGACGGAGCAAUGCCGCGUGAGUGAUGAAGGAAUUCGUUCCGUAAAGCUCUUUUGUUUAUGACGAAUGUGCAGGUUGUGAAUAAUGACUUGUAAUGACGGUAGUAAACGAAUAAGCCACGGCUAACUACGUGCCAGCAGCCGCGGUAAUACGU